UGAGGAAUAUUGGUCAAUGGGCGAGAGCCUGAACCAGCCAAGUAGCGUGCAGGAAGACGGCCCUAUGGGUUGUAAACUGCUUUUAUAUGGGGAUAAAGUGAGUUACGUGUAGCUUAUUGCAGGUACCAUAUGAAUAAGGACCGGCUAAUUCCGUGCCAGCAGCCGCGGUAAUACGGAAGGUCCAGGCGUUAUCCGGAUUUAUUGGGUUUAAAGGGAGCGUAGGCCGCCCCUUAAGCGUGUUGUGAAAUGCCGCGGCUCAACCGUGGCACUGCAGCGCGAACUGGGGGGCUUGAGUGCACGCAACGCAGGCGGAAUUCGUGGUGUAGCGGUGAAAUGCUUAGAUAUCACGAAGAACUCCGAUUGCGAAGGCAGCUUGCGGGAGUGCGACUGACGCUGAAGCUCGAAGGUGCGGGUAUCGAACAGG
RNAcentral lists this ribosomal RNA (424 nucleotides) under uncultured bacterium. Its description in RNAcentral is "bacterial SSU rRNA". It matches the Rfam family "Bacterial small subunit ribosomal RNA", at positions 355 to 776 of the family's 1533-position model. The record is from RNAcentral.